Molecule: small nucleolar RNA, 97 nt
Organism: Cyprinus carpio carpio
Lineage: Eukaryota; Metazoa; Chordata; Actinopteri; Cypriniformes; Cyprinidae
Gene: SNORD14
Rfam family: Small nucleolar RNA SNORD14
About the family: U14 small nucleolar RNA (U14 snoRNA) is required for early cleavages of eukaryotic precursor rRNAs. In yeasts, this molecule possess a stem-loop region (known as the Y-domain) which is essential for function. A similar structure, but with a different consensus sequence, is found in plants, but is absent in vertebrates.
Source: Ensembl
UCGCAAUGAUGAAGUUGAUUCCUUGCCAUUCGUAGUUUCCACCAGAGGUUUAAAAAACCAAAGAUGGCCCAAGCACCUUCCUUGGAUGUCUGAGCGA